This 41-nucleotide ribosomal RNA is filed under the name Nectriaceae sp. PB1-R1-E Fr. RNAcentral's name for it is "partial 17S ribosomal RNA". RNAcentral also lists the same sequence under 4 other names. The record is from RNAcentral. Lineage: Eukaryota; Fungi; Ascomycota; Sordariomycetes; Hypocreales; Nectriaceae.
GAAGUAAAAGUCGUAACAAGGUCUCCGUUGGUGAACCAGCG